RNAcentral lists this transfer RNA (68 nucleotides) under Rattus norvegicus (Norway rat). It matches the Rfam family "tRNA". From Rfam's summary of the family: Transfer RNA (tRNA) molecules are approximately 80 nucleotides in length. Lineage: Eukaryota; Metazoa; Chordata; Mammalia; Rodentia; Muridae. The record is from Rfam by way of RNAcentral.
GGAUGGCUCAGUGGUUAAGAGCACUGACCUGCUGUUCCAGAGGUCCUGAGUUCAAAUCCCAGCAACCA